GGAGGAGGCAGAUGGAUAUGAACAUUUGUGAAGGUCAUGGCCCUGAGACACAGGCCCAUGAAAAGACGGAGAUUUAAUCAAAGGCUAGCCCACACCCUUUCUCCACACUAACAUGACUCCAGCUUAAUAAAAUAUAUUUCAUUGAAAGAACUGCAAAACAUACGCUCUCCCUGAGAAGGAGCACUUAGGGAAGUCUGAAAUAAAAAGGGAAGACAAAAAAAAAAAAAAANAAGAAACUAUGAAAGAGAAGAUAGGAAAUGUAGAGAGAUGAAUAAUAGAGAUAGGUAAUAAAGAGAGAUGAAAGUUCUAAGAAAGACUAAAAGGCAAUGCUAGGAAAAAAAACUGUUUGAAAUGAAGAGUUCAUUUGAUGGGCUCAUCAGUUGACUAGACAUGGCUAAAGAAAAAAUCACUGUACUUGAUGACAGGUCAAUAGAAACUCCCUUAUCAAAAUGUAAAGGAAAAAUAAUUUAAACAAACACACACACACACCAGAUUGCCCAAGAACUUCAGGGCAAUUUCAAAAGGUAUAACAUUGACAUAAUUGCAAUAACAGAAGGAGAAGAAAUGGCAGAGCAGAAGAAAUAUUUGACAUUUGGAAUGACAAUGAGAAAGAUCUUCCAAAAUUAUUGACUGUCAUCAAAUCACAGAUCCAGGAAGCUUAGAAAACAACAAGGAGGAUAAAUACCAAACAGCAGUAAUAAAAAAUACCUCACACACUUAAGAAAAUCAUAUUCAAACUACAGAAAACAAAAGAUUUUUUUAAAAAGAGAGAGAAAUAGAGAAUAAAAACAUCCUAUCUCUAGUGGAACAGGGCUAAGGAUUAUAGUGGAUUUCUUGUCAGAAACCCUAUAAGCAAGAAAAGAAGGAUGUGAAAUCAAAGUGUUGAAAGAGAUGUUGGUAUGAAAAUAUAGUGAAAAAUUUAAUAUUAGUAAUGAUAACUUGGGGAACUACUUAAAAAUACAGAAAAUUCUGACUCAAGGGCUCAUGUAAGAUCUGGAGAAAUGCAUGUCAACCACGAACUCCAGGUGAUCUGGCCCAUGUGGUUAUUGGAUCACAUUUUAAGAAGCAUAAGAAAUGUUGCAAAGCAAAUGCCAAGAUGGGGUUGGACAUGUAAGGUUGGACCCUGACAGGAUGGAAGAAAUUAGAGAACAGAUCAUCUGACAUCAGAACCAGAUAACUGAUACCUAACACUACAUUGUAUUUGAGUUAGGAUUAUAAGCAAGUUGAGAUAUUUUCAUGUCAAGCAAAAAUAGGCAUUAGGUAGAGUCUAAGAAAUAGUUAAAUUUAUAAAGAUUCAGACCAUGUCUUUUGAAUAUGUGUGCAUUACAAGGCUGAUGGAAAAAGUUCAUUUAGUAGUGAGUAAAAUUUUAUGGCCACCAAUAACCCACUUCUCAUGGUAUCUCUUUAUUCUUAAAGUAAUAUUCUUCCAAUUAACCUAUACAGGUGAUUUUCAGUGAAGUUGAGAGAAGUAUAAUAGAAAGUCAGUUUAAAUGGUAUAGUUUGAAAAACAUACAUGGAUUUGAGAUUUAUUGUCCAAGUUUUCUCUGUGCAUGAGGAACUGAUAGAGAUCUGGGUAUCCCAGGAAUUUACUGUUUUGCUGAAAUGACAUCAGUAGAUGUAGAGGUGUGAUCUCAGAAAUAUGAUUAUGAACUUGUGUGGUUCACUAUGAAAUAUUGUUGAAGAUGUGUACUUUGUUUAAUUGUGGUUGUAUUAGACAGUAUAGGGUAGCUUUGAAGCAGUAAUAAACAUGAAAAUUUACUUAUCAUGCACACAGUGUUUAUUGUGGGCUUAGUAGCUCCAGAAGGAAGCUACUUUCAGUGACUCUGGGAUCUAGUCUAUUUCCCUCCUGCCAGUUCCAGGAUCUAUUUCUCUAGGACAGUGAAAGAGAAAGGAGAAUUUCAAUGUAAUUCUUUCGUUGUCCCAUCCAUUAGAGAAACACAUCAGUUCCAAUUAUGGCCCAUUGGCCAGAUAAUAUAUUCACAUCAUCCUAACUUUAAUUUAAGGUGGCUAAAAAAUGUGGCGGAAGCACAUGCUAUUCAAUAACCAGUGACUGUCUCUGUCACAUUAGUCAUCACUGAUUCAUGGUAACACUUGCAGAAUUCUGCCAUAAAUUUUAGGCUUUGCAUUUACAAAUUUUAGGAUUUGUGACGAUCUUGGAACAGGUAUCUCUUCCAUGCCAAGAGAGGAAGAGAGGCAGCUCAGAUCAUUAUGAGGAAUAGAGGUGUUGUUGAGAAAGAAGUUUUCUCACAAACCCACUUUGCUAUCUUCUAUUUUGACAAUCUUAGAGUGACAGAUUUUUUUUUUUUCACAUCUAAAUUAUUGGAACUCUGGCAGAUACUGCCAUUAGAACGAAUGGUUUGAUUUAAAUCUGUAAAAUAUGGCUAUAGCUUUGCAUUAGAUGUGGCAAUUAAAAGACAUCUGGGUGAUGGAAUGAAAUAUUCACAACGAUUUUUACAAUAGCUGAGGUCAUGCAUGAAGCUUGAUUUCUCAUGUCGUGUAAUCUUACAAAAGUACUAUACAAAACAAAACAAUGUGGCAGUUGUUACUAUUAGAUAAUUAUGAGACUUUGGACCUUUUUGCCAAAAGUCAUAAUUAAAACACACCACUUCUUAGUAGGCAGUGUUAGUUGGGUAUUUUUCUCUAAUGUCUGCUUGUUCUCCCUGGAAGGUCAUUCUUUUAAAUAGUGCAUUGAUAAUUUCAUUCACUGUAGAACAUGUAUGAUGAAUUUAGGUCAUAUUAAUUUUAAGAGAAGCACCCUCUCAGGAGCUAAUGGAUGGGGCUAUAGUGGACUACAAAAUACAGUCAAGUGCCUUGCACAUAAAAUUAAACAGGGUUUCUUUUGUGAGGUGCUCACACUUUGAGUUGAUGUUUGUUAUUGUUUGGGUUUCACAGGAGCCCUGUGUUUCAACAUUUCUUUAACUACUCAUAGGGCAGAAGAGCUCUGUGUGCUCAUAACCCAACCUGCAUUAUCUUGAUUCAUAGCAAAUUACCAUUAAGAUUAAAAUGCAACUGAUUUCCUCUCUGGCUCACUCCUUACAAUGAUGCUGGAAGUUCACCUAAACAAAGGAUUUGCAAAUGUUAAAGCUGGAAAGAACUUUAAAUUCUCUUUCUCCAGCUCAGAUUCUUCAUUUACCUGAUGAGAAAACGGAGUCCUAGAGAAAGGAGAGGGCUUACGACCCAGCAUGUCACUUAAUCUACCCUUCCUACCCCUAGUUGCAAAGGGAAGAGAGAAAUUCCUUUCCCACCUACUUCUCAGAAUCGCUGUAAGGAUAAAAUUAGAUAAAGUACGCAACAUUUUUGAGAAUAGCAAAGUAAGAGUAAAAUAAAAAUAGUAAGAGUGAUGAUUGUAAAGAUAUCAUUUAUUGAAUAUUUGGUAUGAACUGGGCACUGUAUUACAUAUAUGAUCUCACAAAUCAUCAUAACCCUACCAUAGACAUGUAUUUAUUAUCCCCAAUUAAAAAUGAAGGAACUGGGGAGUGCCCAUGGUGGCUCAGCAGUAAUGAACCCAAGUAAUAUCCAUGAGGAUGCAGGUUCAAUCCCUGGCCCCGCUCUGUGGGUUGAGGAUCCCAUGUUGCCACGAGCGGUAGUGUAGAUGGCAAACAGCUUGGCUCAGAUACCAUGUUGCUAUGUGGCUGUGGCGUAGACUGGCAGCUGCAUCUCCCAUUUAAUGUCUAGCCUGGGAACUUCCAUAUGCCCUGGAUGUGGCCCGAAAAAAAGUGUGGGGGAGGGGACAGAAACUGAGGCUUGGAGAUUUGCCCUAGGUCAGAAGCUACCUAGUAGCAGAACUAAGAGUGAACCUUAGGGAAUCCAACAUUAAACAAAAGCUCUUUGGCUUUACUUACAGCCCAAGGAUUCACACUGGAAUCCAUACUGGACCAUAAUUGUCUUAUUCUCAGGGUUUUCCCAUUGUUAUAAAUUAGUUUCAUAAAGUUCUUUUGGAAGCAGAGAAAAUGGAAACUGCCUAUCCCUUUCUAGGCUUAAUUUGAUGUAUUAUUUACCUUGAACACUGGAGUUUUCAUUAAGAAUGAAAAAUAGACAAGUUUCUGACAUUGCUAUAGAUGUUUUCAGACCAGUGCUAUGGUUUUCUAUUUGCUGUAUAUUUUGCCAAUUGAGCCUCUAAGUGUCCAGUGCUAUCACUCUAAAUAAACCUCUCCUCAUUCUGUUCUGCUUCCUUGCUGCAAGAAGCAUGAAGCUGUAAACUGCCUAUCAGGAAUUUAGAGAAGAACCCAAUGAUCAUGGCAAUGGAAUCUGUAUGUGUGCUGGCUGCGCCUGUGCCAGAUGAUGUUAAAAGGCUGCCACCUUCUGUUUAGCCCAAGUGUUGCUGAGGCAACUUUCCCACAGCUUCCCUAAGAGUCCUCUAAGCUGAUUUACACUGAUUCCGAAUUGCACUUCUGCAAUAUAUAACAUGACAAGUUAAACGCAAAGCCUGCCAAAAAAUCUUGAUAGGCUCAGCUUUCGUGCUACGGCACUUGAAAAGACCAUUACGACUGCCAUCCCCCUAAAGUGUGCUCAAUAUUUUUUGACAGUGAAUUAUCUAAGCAGCAGUUUAUCUCAGCAUUCAUGGAAUGGGGGUGGGGGUUUUGCCCUUUAAAGAUUCAAAAGAGGAAGAUAAAGGGGGUGGGGUAGGGAUAUUUUCCAUUGUUCAAGUGGUAAUGGAUUACUCCAAGGGUUUCCAGAUGUUGCAAGGGCUCUAGUUUUAUACUCAGGUGCGUUUUCUGCUGAGACUUACAAGAAAUGAAACACAUUAUGGGCAGGAUCCUAGACUGUAAGCAAAGGAAUAACACCAGCAUCUGAAUUUUUCUCUGAGAGGUUAUAUGAAAGAGAUACCUUGUGCCUGACCCCAGUAAGCUGAGCCUCCAGCAGCUGGCUUAUCAAGGACAAUCACCUCUUGCUUUAUCAGCACUAAGCUAUUGUUUUCUUCAGGACACGAACCCUACAGCAAUCACUGACACCAUAUAGUGUGUUCCAUCUGGAGCUCUGCCAGCCUGAAAUCCCGCCCCUAACUUCUCCCCACAAAGUGAGGGUGGGGCUCCAUUUUAUUUCAGUAACACAGCCCAGCAAAAUUAGCUUUGCCCAGGGUCACUUUAAUAACUAGCACAUGAGCACCUCCAUCCAUGUGUAUACGCUUAGGUCUGGGUGAGUUGGGUCUCUUUACAUGGUUAAAAUACUAGGGAUUGUUUACAAAAGCUGGAAAAGUCAGGGAUGGAAAAUAGUUCUAGAGGCCAGAACUAUCCAGUUAAGUGCUUACUGACCAGAUUUUUAUUGACUAAGAAACAUAUGCCUAAUAAAUCUAUGACUACACUCACAUCUUCUCAGUCUAAAAUUAUCUAUGUAUUUAUGCAUCUUUCUAGUUUUAUGUCUCUUGCUACAGGACAUAAAAGAAACAAACAGAUAAUUAUAUUUCUUCCUGAAACCUUAUAGAAAAAAAAAA
Molecule: long non-coding RNA, 5431 nt
Filed under: Sus scrofa (pig)
Lineage: Eukaryota; Metazoa; Chordata; Mammalia; Artiodactyla; Suidae
Description: lncRNA (ENSSSCG00035004497.1)
Source: RNAcentral